This 292-nucleotide ribosomal RNA is filed under the name uncultured bacterium. RNAcentral's name for it is "partial 16S ribosomal RNA". It matches the Rfam family "Bacterial small subunit ribosomal RNA", at positions 29 to 334 of the family's 1533-position model. The record is from RNAcentral.
AACGAACGUUGGCGGCGUGCCUAACACAUGCAAGUCGAGGGAGAAGCCACUCUUCGGAGAGGUGGAGACCGGCGCACGGGUGAGUAACACGUGGGUACGUGCCCAGGGGUCUGGAAUAACCCUCCGAAAGGAGGGCUAAUGCCGGAUAUUCUUCUUCGGGAGGAAAGCGUUAGCGCCCCUGGAUCGGCCCGCGGUCCAUUAGAUAGUUGGUGGGGUAAUGGCCUACCAAGUCGAAGAUGGAUAGCUGGUUUGAGAGAACGAUCAGCCACACUGGGACUGAGACACGGCCCAG